GUGGGUAUAGUUCAGUGGUAGGGCAUGUGCUUAGCAUGCACAAAGUCCUGGGUUCAAUUCCCAGUACCUCUA
Camelus ferus (Wild Bactrian camel) is the source of this 72-nucleotide transfer RNA. It matches the Rfam family "tRNA". From Rfam's summary of the family: Transfer RNA (tRNA) molecules are approximately 80 nucleotides in length. Their secondary structure includes four short double-helical elements and three loops (D, anti-codon, and T loops). Further hydrogen bonds mediate the characteristic L-shaped molecular structure. tRNAs have two regions of fundamental functional importance: the anti-codon, which is responsible for specific mRNA codon recognition, and the 3' end, to which the tRNAs corresponding amino acid is attached (by aminoacyl-tRNA synthetases). tRNAs cope with the degeneracy of the genetic code in two manners: having more than one tRNA (with a specific anti-codon) for a particular amino acid; and 'wobble' base-pairing, i.e. permitting non-standard base-pairing at the 3rd anti-codon position. Lineage: Eukaryota; Metazoa; Chordata; Mammalia; Artiodactyla; Camelidae. The record is from Rfam.